RNAcentral lists this ribosomal RNA (309 nucleotides) under uncultured Gammaproteobacteria bacterium. Its description in RNAcentral is "bacterial SSU rRNA". It matches the Rfam family "Bacterial small subunit ribosomal RNA", at positions 73 to 388 of the family's 1533-position model. Lineage: Bacteria; Pseudomonadati; Pseudomonadota; Gammaproteobacteria. The record is from RNAcentral.
GAUGUGCUUGCACAUCGCUGACGAGUGGCGGACGGGUGAGUAAUGCUUGGGAAUUUGCCUUUGCGAGGGGGAUAACAGUUGGAAACGACUGCUAAUACCGCAUAACGUCUACGGACCAAAGGGGGCUUCGGCUCUCGCGUGAAGAGAAGCCCAAGUGAGAUUAGCUAGUUGGUGAGGUAAAAGGCUCACCAAGGCGACGAUCUCUAGCUGUUCUGAGAGGAAGAUCAGCCACACUGGGACUGAGACACGGCCCAGACUCCUACGGGAGGCAGCAGUGGGGAAUCUUCGGCAAUGGGCGCAAGCCUGAUG